UACGUAGGGGCUAGCGUUAUCCGGAAUUACUGGGCGUAAAGGGUGCGUAGGUGGUCUUUCAAGCCAGAAGUGAAAGGCUACGGCUCAACCGUAGUAAGCUUUUGGAACUGUAAGACUUGAGUGCAGGAGAGGAGAGUGGAAUUCCUAGUGUAGCGGUGAAAUGCGUAGAUAUUAGGAGGAACACCAGUAGCAAAAGCGGCUCUCUGGACUGUAACUGACGCUGAGGCACGAAAGCGUGGGGAGCAAACAGGAUUAGAUACCCUGGUAGUCCCU
Molecule: ribosomal RNA, 273 nt
Filed under: uncultured prokaryote
Description: partial 16S ribosomal RNA
Rfam family: Bacterial small subunit ribosomal RNA
Source: RNAcentral